Molecule: long non-coding RNA, 138 nt
Filed under: Callithrix jacchus (white-tufted-ear marmoset)
Lineage: Eukaryota; Metazoa; Chordata; Mammalia; Primates; Cebidae
Description: lncRNA (ENSCJAG00000073384.1)
Source: RNAcentral
UUGAACUUGGCAUCUCAGCCUCUCACCACGGGGACCGUGCGGCCGGGGAAAGUGCUGGCUUGCUUCCAGGUUGGGCGAAUACAUUGAGUCAGGGCCCACGGAUACGGGAGGCUGGCCAUACAUCACUUCAUUCGUUGU